GAUCCUGGCUCAGAAUCAACGCUGGCGGCGUGCCUAACACAUGCAAGUCGAACGCGGUUACCCCGCAAGGGGUAGCUGAGUGGCGAACGGGUGAGUAACACGUGGGUGACCUACCUUCGAGUGGGGGAUAACGUCCCGAAAGGGACGCUAAUACCGCAUAACAUCCUGUCCUUGAACGGAUGGAGAUCAAAGCCGGGGAUCGCAAGACCUGGCGUUUGAAGAGGGGCCCGCGUCUGAUUAGCUAGUUGGUGGGGUAACGGCUCACCAAGGCGACGAUCAGUAUCCGGCCUGAGAGGGCGGACGGACACACUGGGACUGAGACACGGCCCAGACUCCUACGGGAGGCAGCAGUGGGGAAUUGUUCGCAAUGGGCGAAAGCCUGACGACGCAACGCCGCGUGGAGGAUGAAGAUCUUCGGGUCGUAAACUCCUUUCGAUCGAGACGAAUUCCUGCCGGGUGAAUAUCCCGGCAGGUUGACGGUACCGAGAGAAGAAGCCCCGGCUAACUCCGUGCCAGCAGCCGCGGUAAUACGGGGGGGGCAAGCGUUGUUCGGAAUUACUGGGCGUAAAGGGCGCGUAGGCGGGCGGGCAAGUCUCUCGUGAAAUCCCACGGCUCAACCGUGGAACUGCGGGAGAUACUGCCUGUCUUGAGUCCGGGAGAGGAGGGUGGAAUUCCCAGUGUAGCGGUGAAAUGCGUAGAUAUUGGGAGGAACACCGGUGGCGAAGGCGGCUCUCUGGACCGGUACUGACGCUGAGGCGCGAAAGCUAGGGGA
Molecule: ribosomal RNA, 772 nt
Filed under: uncultured Acidobacteriota bacterium
Lineage: Bacteria; Pseudomonadati; Acidobacteriota
Description: bacterial SSU rRNA
Rfam family: Bacterial small subunit ribosomal RNA
Source: RNAcentral